UACCAAGGUAUACUACCAAAGUGUUUCCGUCUCCUUCAAAGGUACCACAUAUACGGUUAAACCGAUGUCUAAGUGUUCUAGGGCCUUCCAAAGACGUCCUUCUUGUAACACCUUUUAAACGACUUUUUGAGACCGCUCUAGGACCUCUACUCUGACUUGCCCUUAUGGGCACCACUGAUGUAAUCCCAAUCCCAAGCCGUACUGCACGCGGCUGGAGAGUGGUUCAAACAGUCAUAACAGUCCCCCUUUCUUGCGGUUCAGAUGAACCACGCAAUGCUCUUUGAGCGUGUGAAGACGUCACACACACCCGAGUAACCAGUACUAACGUUUCUCACGCCUAGUCCCCACGUACUCCUCUUCCUGUUCUUCAUACCCAGAACCGAGAUACGACUACCUGAUUUAUUUGGCGGCAGGUUGCUAUCAAUACCGGCCCCUUCCUCAGUCUUCGUUGUAUGCGGAGUUAGAGUGGUCGUCUCCAGCGGCCCUUUCUGUCACCAGCUGGGCCUGUACGAUCUAUCCCGAUGUUCGGGACGGUUCCUUCCUGUGUAUAGGUUCGUUCCACUAGGUCGUCGAGCGUUUUCUGAGAGGUACCUCCUACAACCUGGCCUACGGUUACGCAACCAUCCCGGCUCUCCACACGAUCGUGAAUGGGUCCCCUUACCACUCCUACCACGUGUACGGAGCGGAUGGUCGUCACGAUCGUCAUUCUCCCGAGCACAACUUAGUUCGCCAUACAAUCCACUAU
Molecule: ribosomal RNA, 745 nt
Filed under: Triticum aestivum (bread wheat)
Lineage: Eukaryota; Viridiplantae; Streptophyta; Magnoliopsida; Poales; Poaceae
Description: partial small subunit ribosomal RNA
Source: RNAcentral